CCCAUCGCCACAUCCCCCUGCCGGGGCAGGGGGCUCCGCGGCAACAACGCGCCUUCUGAUUGGUCGCCCGUUGCCAUAGUUCCACCUCGGCGGCAAUAACACGUCUCUUGAUUGGUUGGUUUGGGCCGACAGUUGCAGUACAGCUACCUGCUGGGGCGCGGGCAACCCGGCUCCGGCCACUGCGCAUGCUCCCCAGCUGGGCCGGCUGCGGACGCGGGAAGGGAGGUGGUGGCGACUGACGGAACUGGGUGAAGGCAGCAGUCUGUCAACAACUAUGGCAUCCAGCUGGUCAGAAAGACUAGAGGAUUUGACAUUUUGCGGCUGUUCUCUAGAACCAAAGAAAUGAGAACCUCUUGGUAAAAUCCGCUGGUCCAGGAGUUAUUAUCUCCUGGAUUAUCUGCCAAAGAAAUUAUCUGCCAAAAUUACAAUGUAAAACUGAAGAAGACAACCGAUAACUCAGUUAAAAUUUUGGAAAAAUACAAAGAAACUGUGACUGGGGAGAAAUGGUGAGGGAAAUUUUCUCGUUGAAUUAGAGGAUCAGGAGGGCUAAAGGGAGCCCUCAUGCUAUCAACCAAAAUCUCUGUUAAAUUCCAAACAUAAAAUAUCUUUUCUCACUGUUAAAAUGUCUAAGCAGUCUCCACUAGCAGCCCCCGUCCUGGACACAGGAGCACUGCCCUGCCUGGCCGUCAGGUGCUCCCAUAAGCAUCAUUCAGACAGCGAGGGGGGCAGUGGAGGAUUCGGGGGCAGGAGAUGGGGUGGUGGAGAGAAGGAUGUAACCAUCAAAAGUCCAUUUUCCCUGCUGAAGCUACCCAUGGAACUUUUAAAUUGGGUGCAGAUUUAAAAAUUAAUACAAAAUAUUUGAAUAAUCGGGGAUGUAUCAAAUGUUCAUAAAUUACAGCUCCAACUAGGAAUGCCUAAGGAACUGUUCCUUCCGUUUAAUUGUCCUCUUUGUCUAUCAAAAAGACAGCCACUCGCGUGCCUCUUCUAAACAGUCAAAUACCAUCCUAAGCUCUCAUGGAAAAUCUCAAGAGGCUUAUUGGUUGACUAAUUCUAAACCUCUGUUUGCUCAAAGGACAGUGUCAGCUACAAUUUUUCAUUUGCUUUUGUAUUCCAUUUAUUUUUCUUUACAGCUUUGGGAGAUGUGUAUUAUACUUCUUUUCUUUUAAUGAUUAUCUUGGAAAUUGUUUAUAUAUACUUAACAGUCUACAGUGAAGGACUAUUUACCAUCCUUCUGAAUAACACAAAGAUUUUAGGACAGUGGUCCCCAGCCUUUUUGGCGCCAGGGACCAGUUUUUCCAUGGACCAGGGUGCAGGGGGAUGGUUUCAGGAUGAUUCCAGCACAUUACAUUUAUUGGGCACUUCAUUUCUAUUAUUAUUACAUUGUAAUAUAUAAUGAAAUAAUUAUACAACUCACCAUCAUAUAGAAUCAGUGGGUGUCCUGAGCUUGUUUUCCUGCAACUGGAUGGUCCUAUCUGGGGGUGAUGGGAGACAGUGACAGAUCAGCAGGCAUUAGAUUCUCAUAAGGAGCAUGCAACCUAGAUCCCUUGCAUGCACAGUUCACAAUAGGGUUCACACUCCUAUGAGAAUCUAAUGCCACCGCUGAUCUGAUGGGAGGUGGAGCUCAGGUGGUAAUGUGAGCAGUGGGGAGUAGCUGUAAAUACAGAUGAAGUUUCGCUCAUUUGCCUGCCCACGGCUCCUAACUCUUGCUGUGCAGCCCAGUUCCUAACAUAUCCGUUGGUGGCCCAGGGGUUGGAGACCUUGUCUUAGAAUGGUUUUCCUCCGUUGAUCACUGCUUCUAGCUUGUGUGCUACUGGGAUACAAUAUUUUGAAUCAAUCUCUGUUUUUAACCUCACAGAUUGUGUAAUUAUCAGUAUCUGCUUAAUAUGUAUUUAGAUUAGUCAUAUGUUUACCAUUUUGUUUAGCUGCCAAACGUCAUUGCAUUUCAGACUUUCUUUCUGGGAGCGUCUCAUUCUUCCUGAAGUACAUCAUUUAAAUGUGCCUUUAAGUUUGGUGGCAAACAGUCUCAAUUUCUGUUUAUCUCAAAGUGCCUUUAUUCUACCUCAUUUUUGGUAGUUUCACUGGAUUUGUGAUUUUUAAAUCUAUAAUUAUUUUCUAGCACAUUGAAGGUAUUUCACUUUCUUCCAUGUUCCAUUGUUAUUAAAAAGACUCCUGUCAGUCUUAUUGACAUUCUUUUGUAGAUAAUCUGUUUUUUCACUAUUUUAUCUAUGUAUGAAUUUAAUCUAUUUAUGAAUUUCAUCUAUGUAUUUCAUCAUGUAUGAAUUUAAUUUAUUUCUCUUGCUUGAUAUAUUAUAUUGCUUCCUGAACUCUGAAAAAUUCUUGGCCAUUAUUUCUUAGUCUAUUAAAUAUUCUUUAAAUACUGCUGUCUUGCUGUUACUCUACUAUUUAAUUCUGAAACUUAAAAUGAAUAUAUGUUGGACUUUAUUUUUCAUUUUCUUAACUUCUCUUGCGUAUUUUUAAUUUGUCUUUCUGUUACGCAUCCUGAGCAAUGUCUUUGGAUAUAAUUUCCAGUUUACAAAUUCUCUUUUGAGCUGUGUCUAAUGUGUUAUUUUUUAAAAUUUUUUUCAGAGACAGGGUCUUGCUCUGUUGCCAAGGCUGUAGCACAGUGGUGCCAUCAUAGCACACUGCAGCCUCUAAUUAGCAGAUUAUGUUUUCAUAAAAUGUUUUUUAUCUUUGACCAUUUAAAAAUUUGGGAGUUUAUCUCUCCUCUCCUUUCCUUUCCUUCCUUCUCUCUCUUCUUUCUUUCUUUUUCUUUCUUUCUCUUUCUUUUUUUCUUUCUUUCUCUCUCUCUUUCCCUCCCUCCCUCCCUCCCUCCCUUCCUCCCUCCCUUCCUCCCUUCUUCCUUCUUUCCAUGAGAUCUUCCUAUGUUGCCUAGGCGUACCACCUAUUUACUUACUACCAUUGCAUAAGUCACUUAUCUCUCUCUCCAUUUUGAUUGUCUGAAGCUUGAUGUCGACUAGAUUUCUCAGGAAAGACUCAGCAAUAAUAGUCCCUGAGUUCUGGCAUGUUGAUAAAAGUUUGUCUUUUAUUAAUUAGAUAUAAAAUUCUUGUUUCAUAUAUUCUUUCCUUGAGUAUGUUAAUUAUUAUAUGUUAUUUUAAUAUUGUAUAUUGUAAUAGCAUAUAAUAACAUAUGAUAUUUGUAUUAUUUAUUUGUAUAUAUUUGCAUUACUGUAUAUUUGUAUUCUGUAUGAUUUAUCUUGUAUAUAAAUAUUGUAUGUUAAAUAAAUAAUAUGCUAUUUCAUUUUCUCAUAGCAUAAAGCAUUGCUGUCGACAAGCGUGAUGAUAAUUAAUUUUUUUUCCUUAUACCUUACACACUUGUUUGGGAUAUCUGUUGUAGACUGAAUUGCAUCCUACCCAAAUUUAUAAGUUGAAGCUCUAAUCCCUAGUGUGACUGUAUGUGGAGACAGAGCUUUUAAGGAGGUAAUUAAGGCCAUAAGAGGGGCUGGUAAUAUAAUAUGAUUGGUGUCCUUAAAAGAAAAGGAAGAGACACCAGGAAUGCAGGUGCACAGGAAAGGCCAUAUGAGGACAGGAUGAGAUGGCCCUUUGCAGCCAAGGAGAGAGGCCAUAGAAGAAAUCAUCCCUGCGAACACGUUGAUCUUGGACUUCCAGCCUUCAGAACU
RNAcentral lists this long non-coding RNA (3638 nucleotides) under Homo sapiens (human). Its description in RNAcentral is "HSALNT0132429". The record is from RNAcentral. Lineage: Eukaryota; Metazoa; Chordata; Mammalia; Primates; Hominidae.